CCUUUAGAACCAACAGGGUUGCACUGGUUGUUUGAAGGCCAAAAAACAAUCAGAAUCAAAUUAGAGUAUAAAUUAUAACAUCAAUACAAGCAACAACAAAAAUAUGAAACCAUAUUACUCAGUAGUAGGCGAUCGCAUUUUUCAUAACGAAAAAGACCCACCAAACUAAAAUAAAUUACCCACCAAUAUUAACAAAAGUAGAGACCAAAUGAAAGAAAGUAAAUAACUAUGGCCUUGAUUUUAACUCAACUUCAUUGUUUCUCAGGUCUUGUUAUUUGCAUGGGAGACCAUCUCAUAUGUACUAGACAUUCCCCUCAAUUGAAAACAGACAAACAAUAGUUCUUCAUUUAGAGUAUCAUGUUUUUCAACAUGGAGAAUUUAUUGGAGACGAUGCAAAUGGAGGAAAAGAGAGCUUCCAGAGGAAAAUCAAGAGCAUGAAAAAAAUGGAGCAGUUGGCAGAAACACCUAAUUCUCAAAUGAUGAACAAAAUUUAUGAAGCGGCAUAGGACAUACAUGAAUAAUCUAAGUGUGCUUAUUAAAAUAUAUUUCACUUCCACUUUAAAUUUUAAGAAACAAGAAAAUCCAAAAUUUGAAUCAUUUAUUAAUAUUUUAUACAUUAUUUAGGUGCAAAUUUUUAUGUAAAUGCAUUGUUUUAAGGGAAAGACCAAAACACAAAUGUACAUCGAAAAAAUAACAUCUAUUAUCACAGAAAAGUAAUAGCAGAAGAAUAUCCUUCAGCCCAUUUGACAGGGCACAUUGCAAAGGGAAAACUUACUGUAAAGUUGCAACCCAUGCUCUAGCUGCACCAGGAGUCUCUGCACAAAGGAAGUAGUCU
RNAcentral lists this unclassified non-coding RNA (835 nucleotides) under Hevea brasiliensis (rubber tree). The record is from RNAcentral. Lineage: Eukaryota; Viridiplantae; Streptophyta; Magnoliopsida; Malpighiales; Euphorbiaceae.